RNAcentral lists this ribosomal RNA (468 nucleotides) under uncultured bacterium. RNAcentral's name for it is "partial 16S ribosomal RNA". It matches the Rfam family "Bacterial small subunit ribosomal RNA", at positions 28 to 507 of the family's 1533-position model. The record is from RNAcentral.
GACGAACGCUGGCGGCGUGCUUAACACAUGCAAGUCGGACGGAAAGGCCCUGCUUUUGUGGGGUGCUCGAGUGGCGAACGGGUGAGUAACACGUGAGUAACCUGCCCUUGACUUUGGGAUAACUUCAGGAAACUGGGGCUAAUACCGGAUAGGAGCUCCUGCUGCAUGGUGGGGGUUGGAAAGUUUCGGCGGUUGGAGAUGGACUCGCGGCUUAUCAGCUUGUUGGUGGGGUAGUGGCUUACCAAGGCUUUGACGGGUAGCCGGCCUGAGAGGGUGACCGGCCACAUUGGGACUGAGAUACGGCCCAGACUCCUACGGGAGGCAGCAGUGGGGAAUAUUGCACAAUGGGCGGAAGCCUGAUGCAGCAACGCCGCGUGCGGGAUGACGGCCUUCGGGUUGUAAACCGCUUUCGCCUGUGACGAAGCGUGAGUGACGGUAAUGGGUAAAGAAGCACCGGCUAACUACGUG